This 594-nucleotide small RNA is filed under the name Pan troglodytes (chimpanzee). Its description in RNAcentral is "retained intron". Lineage: Eukaryota; Metazoa; Chordata; Mammalia; Primates; Hominidae. The record is from RNAcentral.
GGACAAUCUCAGGGAAGUAUUUUGCAUGUGAUGGAAGAAUGACCCAAGGUCUUUGGAUUGCUAAUAAUAAUACUGUUCUGUGUCAAGCCUGCUUGGCCACAGACCAACUCUGGUAUCUUAUUUUCAGGUGAAUUUUACCGGGAAGGCCGAGAUGGGAGGACCGUUUUCCUAUGUGUACUUCUUCUGCACGGUACCUGAGAUCCUGGUGCACAACAUAGUGAUCUUCAUGCGAACUUCAGUGAAGAUUUCAUACAUUGGCCUCAUGACCCAGAGCUCCUUGGAGACACAUCACUAUGUGGAUUGUGGAGGAAAUUCCACAGCUAUUUAACAACUGCUAUUGGUUCUUCCACACAGCACCUGUAGAAGAGAGCACAGCAUAUGUUCCCAAGGCCUGAGUUCUGGACGUACCCCCACGUGGUGUAAGCAGAGGAGGAAUUGGUUCACUUAACUCCCAGCAAACAUCCUCCUGCCACUUAGGAGGAAACACCUCCCUAUGGUACCAUUUAUGUUUCUCAGAACCAGCAGAAUCACUGCCCAGUGCCUAGCCUGUGCCCAGCAAAUAGUUGGCACUCAAUAAAGAUUUGCAGAAUUUAA